RNAcentral lists this ribosomal RNA (626 nucleotides) under Cupriavidus respiraculi. RNAcentral describes it as "bacterial SSU rRNA". It matches the Rfam family "Bacterial small subunit ribosomal RNA", at positions 135 to 755 of the family's 1533-position model. Lineage: Bacteria; Pseudomonadati; Pseudomonadota; Betaproteobacteria; Burkholderiales; Burkholderiaceae. The record is from RNAcentral.
UGWGGGGGAUAACUAGUCGAAAGAUUAGCUAAUACCGCAUACGACCUGAGGGUGAAAGCGGGGGACCGCAAGGCCUCGCGCAAUAGGAGCGGCCGAUGUCUGAUUAGCUAGUUGGUGGGGUAAAGGCCUACCAAGGCGACGAUCAGUAGCUGGUCUGAGAGGACGAUCAGCCACACUGGGACUGAGACACGGCCCAGACUCCUACGGGAGGCAGCAGUGGGGAAUUUUGGACAAUGGGGGCAACCCUGAUCCAGCAAUGCCGCGUGUGUGAAGAAGGCCUUCGGGUUGUAAAGCACUUUUGUCCGGAAAGAAAUGGCGCUGGYUAAUACCCGGCGUUGAUGACGGUACCGGAAGAAUAAGCACCGGCUAACUACGUGCCAGCAGCCGCGGUAAUACGUAGGGUGCGAGCGUUAAUCGGAAUUACUGGGCGUAAAGCGUGCGCAGGCGGUUUUGUAAGACAGGCGUGAAAUCCCCGAGCUCAACUUGGGAAUGGCGCUUGUGACUGCAAGGCUAGAGUAUGUCAGAGGGGGGGUAGAAUUCCACGUGUAGCAGUGAAAUGCGUAGAGAUGUGGAGGAAUACCGAUGGCGAAGGCAGCCCCCUGGGACGUCACUGACGCUCAUGCACG